GAUUCCUGCAAAGAUAUUAACGAUCCUCUUAAAAUGUUGAAGAUUAGUAAUAUCUGUGACUAUCAUCUCAGUUUACAGUUUCCUUUCAGAUGAAAUAAUACAGUUGGUAAGUCCUUUAGACUGACUAGUGACGUCCCCCAAGGAAUGACGGAACUCACUCUUCGUAGCUGGCUAACAGAAUUCCAGGUUGACUUUUAAUGUGGGUGGAACACAACAUACAGUACUGACACUAGAACUGAAUAUCUCAACCCAAAUGCAACCAGAACUGUCAUCAAAUAUUUGCGCAAGGGGUAAUUGCUCUUGGACUUAAUUGUGGACCCCUCCCCUGCGAUAUGUGUCAUAGUUAGCGUCGUUUGAAGACAGUUUGUACAUGACUUCAAGUGAUGACAUUACUGUUGAAAGUAUAUAAUCACCACAUCAGUUUGAUGCCAAGGCUGUCUCAUUUGUCACUUUGUAAAAUGAUUUCUAAUACAUGUCACCAUGUCCAGCUAUACUCUAUCUGACGUCUAAGCAUCUUUAGAAUAGCUCUGCAUCAUAUUUUUCAUUGUCAAAGGUUCCACCGUAUAGCUGUCGUGUUCAAAACACACCGAUCCUCCCUGCACCUUUCCAUAAUCUAUGUAGUCCAUAAAGAUGACGGUUUCUCAAAACCCAUUUUAUCUGUCUGAUUGUAUAGAAAUCCCCAGGCAUUGCAUCCAGGGACUUAACCGGCUGGUUAAACAAGGAUUCCAAAGGUUGGUUGACAAACAGCGGUCAUCAUUCGGAUCAGAAGGUGGAAAUUCCUUCAAUCCUUAUCCUGGAUCAUCUACCAGAGUUCCUCUUUCUGCAAGCUUUUUGCUGGAACUCCUCUAUUCUUUGUAUUUCUGCAUGUCACUAAUGCUAUUAAGAAUUCCUUGAAAGUCAAUCCUUCUGGUCAACCUAAAAAUGACUCCAUAGAAAUUAAUGAUGCUUUGUCCCUCUCUCUAAAUCAGUCUACAUGAUCAAAAAGUGCUGUGAGAAGUGCCUCAUUGUGAACAAAACAUUUGGCUGGAAGUUACUCAACAUAUUAAUUGUGUUACUGAAGAUUGGAGAAAAACCAGACAACUAGUGUCAGUUAUGCUGAAAAAAAAAUUAUCAACAGGAGAAAAAUAAGUUACCUGUUUUAGCAUUGUUGAAAAACAAAGCUAAAAAAAAAAGAAAGUAUAAGGUGGAAGUUGUUAGUGAACUUAAUAAAACAACAACCGUGAAAAAGGAACUAAACAAAGAAAUACCAGAAGACAAGUCCCACAUCAGACACAUAUAUACAAGAAGAUAAGUCAGUCCUGUAAAUAAAAAUUUAUGGUACAUUCAGAUUUUCUACUAUUACAAGUGUUGUCUACCACGAGUGUUAAAUAAUUGCAUAUACUAGUACUGAAUAAUUGUAAAGAGGUCCAUGCAGAAUAUUCCUCAGAAAACUUUUAAAAUAUUAGAUGCUACUUGGUGCAUUCUGUCAGGUUUUAGCUACCUAAGUGCACAGUUCAUAGCUACCAUAAAACUGACAAAAUUAAUAAUUAACAGACAAUAAUUUUCUUUCCACUUUUUUUACCAGUUCAUUCAACAAAGAAGUGUGGGAGCUAAUUUAAUGUACAAUUGAAAAUUUGAAAAUAAAAAUUAAAAGCGCACAUACAGGUUUAUUAAAAAGCACAACUCAGAUGUGUUACUUUAUUUUCAUCUUUUUUUUUAAAUGAUCAUGGGCCCCCAUUUUCAGCAGCUGAUCUUUUCAGCAAAGGGUCCAAAGUGGAAACAUUGCUUUACAUGCUUCAAACACCUUUCCUCUUACCAAAAACAUCUUGGGCUGUUUUAAUAGUCCCAUUUCCAAUAGGGCUUAUGCUUUUUGUUGUCCUGCAUGUGACAAUCUUGGUGACUUUGGUUAUCUUAAUAGUCUCAUUACCAAUAGGGCUUAUGCUUUCUGUUGUCCUGCAUGUAACAAUCUUGGUGACUUUGGCUGUUUUAAUAGUUUCAUUUUUAGCAGGCUUGUGUUUAUCAUUGUACCACAUGUGAAAACCUUGGCAGUUUUAACAGUUUCUUUGCCAGUAAGGUUUAUUUUUCAUAUGACAGUCUUGUGGACUUUGGUUAUUUUAAUAGUCUUGUUGUCAGUAAGGUUUGUACUUUUUGUUGUCCUGCAGGUGAGAAUCAUGAGGACUUUGGUUAUUUUAAUGGUCUUGUUGUCAGUAAGGUUUGUACUUUUUGUUGUCCUGCAUGUGAGAAUCAUAAGGACUUUGGUUAUUUUAAUAGUCUUGUUGUCAGUAAGGUUUAUACUUUUUGUUGUCCUGCAUGUGAGAAUCAUGGUGACUUUGCUGUUUCAAUAAUCUCAUUGCCAUUAGAGACUGUGCUUUUUUGUAUGUGGUAAUCUCAGUAGUUUUCUUGCUAUUUCUAACUUUGAGAUGUAGCUUUUUUCUGUUUUUGUUGCUGAAGAUUUUUAACCACUUUUGCCAUUGCAAUUUCUCUCUUUCCUUGGGCUGUCAAUGUCUUUUCCUGAAGGCGAUUCCAGUACCUUACAUAUUCUGUAUAGCAGGUUUUCUCAUCCUUGCUGAAACCUUCAUGCUUUUUAUACCUUUUACUGGGAGGGUAAAUUUCACCACUGCUAGUGUCACAUGAUUCUCGACCAGUAAGCGAGGUAUGGUCUUUCUCAGUAAUGUCAUCUACCAUGUUGAAUAAGUCUUCAACAGUGGGACCUGAAAAUGUGCUUAACAAAGCUGACACAAGUGCAGAUGAUAAUGCAGUACUUACUAGUUGCAACUAACAGUAAGUGCAUCAGUCUAUAUUGUCAACAUCAUGUUUCUCUAAUGCCGCACUUAGAAAUUCAGUUGAUGACAAUGUGACUUGCUUAUUGUAUGCACUCUAAAUAUUAACUAAUAACAGUCAGUAGUGAGGUUUCUGCAGCUGCAGUCAUACAUAGUGAGCCACAACUAGUAUUAUUGCAAGCAAUACACACAGUCGAGGUAUUUUUUGUGAAGGGUAUUCAAAGUAUCAUGUGCACAGUACAAAGAACUACUAUGUGCAACUGAUAUGUCACCAAUAGCAUCGACCAGCAAACUAAUCAAAUGGGCUAAUUAAAUGUCUAUUUACCCUGUACUAUUUUGUAUCUCAUUGCAUAGUUAGUGUUGAUAAUAUUCAAAAAUAAAUAUGAAGAACAGAACCACACGUAUUAAACCUAAUGGAUAAACAACCAGAACAAUCUUUUUAACUUGUCCAGUAACAAUUUAGAAAAUGUUUCCAAAAUUUAGAAUUAUUCAUACAAAAAAAAAACUAGGCAAGAUUCAACUAAGAUCCAAUGUGUGGCUAAGAGUACUAACUGAAUGUUUAAUGCUGAUAGUUUUACAUGCAUUUGACAACUUAUGUUGUUGUGCAAUGAGAAGUAGAAAUUAUUGGUUAUUAUCGAGGGUUUUUUACAACAAGAUAACUUAAUACAAGACAAGGUUUGAACUUUAAUGUGAGCAGUAUUAGGUAAAUACUGUGAUAUAGGUUUAUUAUUUCUAUAUUUUACAUAAGGAACUUGUGGCCUAAUGAACUCUCUUAUGGCUGAUAUUGGCUUACACACACUACAUGUUAACUACUAAAUACGAUUAUAUAAGUAUUUUUUAGUAUCUGUUAAGUUUGAUUAGAAACACCAAACAGUAAAUGAUAAAACAUAUUCAGCACAUCAAAAAUAUGCUAAAAUUUUAUAUAAAUGGUUGUCUCAUUAUGUUAGCUAAGUAACUUGUGUAAACUAUGGUGGUUUACAUCUUUGUACUUUGUAUUGAUUUAAUAAAUUUUUUUUAUCAGAAUUGCCUUUUUUCCCUUUGUGUUAAAUAACCAGUGACAGUCUUCUAAUGAGACAAACUAUAAAUAAUUUUUGUAAUAACUUCCAACAACUAUAAGUGUACAUGUUAUCCUAGAGAUUUUUCAUUUCUUGCUUGUAUCAAGAGACAACUUCUGUGACAUUACAUUUUAUUGAAACACACACACGCAUCUGUAUUUUUUUAAAACUCCUUACAAACAGCAAAUUUAACAAUUUUUAACAGAUUGUAAGAAGAACAAACACUAAGAAUAGAGCAUUUUUGGCAAAGGACAUAAAACAAUAUGUUGUAAAAGAGAGUUUUGACAUCACUGAUAUCAGUCUGUUUAAAAAAAUCCCGUGAAGUACUAAUGUUAUCUAGAAGUGUUAGCCACAAAGAUAUUAGAUAAUUAUCAAUGACUUGCAAACAUCUAUGACAAA
This is an RNA transcript of Limulus polyphemus (Atlantic horseshoe crab), 4213 nucleotides long. It is a transcript of the gene named hyccin-like, with no coding region annotated. The transcript is spliced from 9 exons. The record is from RefSeq and is a predicted model, not a curated record. NCBI's taxonomy places the organism in Eukaryota, Metazoa, Arthropoda, Merostomata, Xiphosura, Limulidae.